CGUGUAGGCGGUUGGUCAAGUCGGGUGUGAAAGCCCGAGGCUCAGCCUCGGAAGUGCAUCCGAAACUAGCCAGCUAGAGCGCGAUAGAGGAGGGUGGAAUUCCUGGUGUAGCGGUGAAAUGCGUAGAUAUCAGGAGGAACACCGGCGGCGAAGGCGGCCCUCUGGAUCGUUGCUGACGCUGAGACGCGAAAGCGUGGGGAGCAAACAGGAUUAGAUACCCUGGUAGUCCACGCCUUAAACGAUGGGUACUAGGUGUUCGGGGUGUUGACCCCCUAAGUGCCGCAGUUAACGCAUUAAGUACCCCGCCUGGGGACUACGGCCGCAAGGUUAAA
RNAcentral lists this ribosomal RNA (332 nucleotides) under uncultured bacterium. Its description in RNAcentral is "bacterial SSU rRNA". It matches the Rfam family "Bacterial small subunit ribosomal RNA", at positions 568 to 898 of the family's 1533-position model. The record is from RNAcentral.